ACUGAACGCUGGCGGCAUGCCUUACACAUGCAAGUCGAACGGCAGCACGGGAGCUUGCUCCUGGUGGCGAGUGGCGAACGGGUGAGUAAUACAUCGGAACGUACCCAGUAGUGGGGGAUAACGCACCGAAAGGUGCGCUAAUCCCGCAUACGACCUAAGGGUGAAAGCGGGGGACCGCAAGGCCUCGCGCUAUUGGAGCGGCCGAUGUCUGAUUAGCUAGUUGGCGGGGUAAAGGCCCACCAAGGCGACGAUCAGUAGCUGGUCUGAGAGGACGAUCAGCCACACUGGGACUGAGACACGGCCCAGACUCCUACGGGAGGCAGCAGUGGGGAAUUUUGGACAAUGGGGGCAACCCUGAUCCAGCAAUGCCGCGUGUGCGAAGAAGGCCUUCGGGUUGUAUAGCACUUUUGUCAGGGAAGAAAUCUUUCAGGCUAAUACCCUUGGAAGGAUGACGGUACCUGAAGAAUAAGCACCGGCUAACUACGUGCCAGCAGCCGCCGUAA
This 503-nucleotide ribosomal RNA is filed under the name uncultured bacterium. RNAcentral describes it as "partial 16S ribosomal RNA". It matches the Rfam family "Bacterial small subunit ribosomal RNA", at positions 30 to 523 of the family's 1533-position model. The record is from RNAcentral.